Molecule: ribosomal RNA, 485 nt
Filed under: uncultured bacterium
Lineage: Bacteria
Description: bacterial SSU rRNA
Rfam family: Bacterial small subunit ribosomal RNA
Source: RNAcentral
ACUCAAAGGAAUUGACGGGGGCCCGCACAAGCAGCGGAGCGUGUGGUUUAAUUCGAUGCUACACGAAGAACCUUACCAGGGCUUGACAUGGUUGUGGUAGCGAAGCGAAAGCGGAGCGACCCUUCGGGGAGCAAUCACAGGUGCUGCAUGGCUGUCGUCAGCUCGUGUCGUGAGAUGUUCGGUUAAGUCCGCUAACGAGCGCAACCCUCUCUGCGUGUUACAAGUGUCACGCGGGACUGCCAGUCUUAAGCUGGAGGAAGGUGGGGAUGACGUCAAGUCAGCAUGGCCUUUAUGUCCUGGGCUACACACACGCUACAAUGGCCGGUACAAUGGGUCGCGAAGUCGCGAGGCGAAGCCAAUCCACAAAGCCGGUCUCAGUUCAGAUUGCAGGCUGCAACCCGCCUGCAUGAAGACGGAGUUGCUAGUAACCGCAGGUCAGCUAUACUGCGGUGAAUACGUUCCCGGGCCUUGUACACACCGCCCGU